CUACCUCCAAAUUCCAACUCCAUCCCCAAAUAACAUAAUUCAUCCUCCACCUUCAUCGAACCAAUAUCAAUUUCACAAUGAACAAAAUCAAAUUGUAUUUGGUGUUUAAACGGGUAAAACCAAAUUUUAUAAAAAAAAUAUAUAAAAUUUUGUAGCAAGGAUGUUUUCCGAUGGAUUCUCGUUGGAAAAGUCAAAUUCAUCGUCAACUUUCUCAUCUCAGUCUGUUAAUUAUUAAUCCAUCCUAAAAUGGAGUUUGCUACCAUAUUAGUUUUUUCUUUAAAUUAUAGCUGAAAAACAAAUGAAAAAAGUAUGAAAAUGUGUUGGUCAUUACCAUUUAAAAUACAGAGGCCAACAAUCAAAUGACCAUUUUUUGAAACAAUAAUGGCCAUUAUAGCUGAGAAUUUUUUAUUUUAUUUUUUAAGAAAAGACGAUGGAUUACAGAUGAAGAACAAUGUUAGAAGAAAUUAACUGUUAUGAUAAUUUUGUUGGUGGGAUAAAGUUUAUGGUGGUGAAUAUGGUGUAAUGGAGGUAAUGAAGAUUUUGGACAUUAACAAUGGAGGUUUUAGACAUUGAAGAAGAAGGAAAAAAAAUUAAAUUAAAAACAAAAAAGAAAAAAUUAUGAAAAUAAUAAAUUUAUUAUUUUUUCGAAUUAUGCUGACUUGGCAGCGCGUGUAAACACCAUACCACAUGCAAGUUGUGUAAUGCCUGACAGAGUGUAAAAAGUAUCACUUUUUUAUAGUUAAGGUGUGUAAUAGGUCACUUAUAUAGUUUAAGUGUGGAUUUGACUUUUCGACUAUAGUUUGAGGUGGAAACAAUGUCUUUUCCCAACAGAUAACUCCCCAUUUUUGGCAAUUGGUUGGUGCAACGUCAAGCAACCUGAAAUACAUAAGGGAGGAUAAGAUAGCCUACAAGAAAAUUAAUUUUGUAACUUAAGACAUCAAGUUUAAUUUAGAAAUCAUUCAUAGCAGGGCAUACACAGGAAAGAAAGAAAUUUAAAAGAAAAUAAUACUCAGCUGCAUAUGAGGAUACCUAUGCUGCAUAUUCCAUGUCACAAAGUUUCAGUGAAUCUGUUGUUGCUAUAUAUAUCAAUUGAUGGCAAAUGAUAUUCAUUGACUUAGGAACUUAAGAGUUACUCUAAAACGUUGGGAGAGGGAAACCUUUUUGGCUGUACAAAUAAAUUUAAUACAAAUUAAUAUGGAUAAUUAUAGACUUAGAUUAAUUUAAUUAAUGAAUGAAAAAGAGAAAAAGAGAAAAAUUGAAAAAAAUAAUGAAAAAAUCAAAAAAUGGAAAAAGCAUACCACAUCAGGAUGUUUAUAACUCUUCUUUUUAUAUAUAUAUAUAUAUAUAUAUAUAUAUAUACUUUUGAUUCUUAUAAUUUUAAACAAAUACGUGUAUUAUGACAAAAACAUAUAUACCCUUUAAAUCUUGUAAUACUAAACACGCAUGUUAUAUCAUUUCUACAAGUACACGUCAUUAAAGCUAUAAGAAAAGUUAGAACAAGAAACUUACAAAGGGUUAGGUGAUGAGUGGUAAAUUUACCGCUCAUUUACCUCCAAAUGCAACUUACAAAGGGUUAGGUGAUGUGUGGUAAAUUUACCGCUCAUUUACCUCCAAAUGCGUACACACUACUAUGAUUUAAUGGUAUGAAUGAGACAACUUUGGCAUUUGAAUGCACUAAUUCUCAUAUUUUGCAGGUAUACAGGUGAUGAAAAGAAAAGAAGUGAAAUAGGCUAAAAAGAGAUAAAAAAAGGGAAGAGAAGUGCAAAAGCUGGAAAAGCAGGAGCAGGAUCUGACCUCAGUUACUGUGAUCGCGGUCUGAGGGCCAUGAUCAUAGACAUUCAAGAUUAGUCAGAGCCAACGAUUGUGAAGGAUUCACCACAAUCGCGGGAGUCGCGAUCGUGAUCAAGAUGGGGCAAUCGCGGCAGCGGGGGUUUAUGCCAAAGGGCAGAUUUGUAAUUUCAUAAAAUUGACCCCAAAUCCCAUAUAGAGCAAAAAUCCUUUCAUUUUUGGGCAUCUUCCCAACUAAAAUUGAGCUUGGAGAAAUUUGAAACCCUGUCUAAUUGGGAAACUUAUUGUGGCAAAUUUCUCACGCGAUUUUGAUUGUAAUUGAAGUUGGCUAUUGAAGAAUACUCUUGUUUGCUUCUUCAAUGGAAGCAUUGAAUGAUCAUUUUGGCAUAAUUCUUUUCCCUAACUUCAUGAGUAGCUAAACAUUUAUCUUGGGAUUAUAUUGAAAUCGGGUGCAAAUAUGUGUGGGUUGUGAUUUAUUAGUGUAGUUUCUUAGUUAUUGAUGAUGGGUUUCACUAAUGCUUGCUUUGAGUUGGGAUUUGUGAGUGAAAACUUCAAAUUCCCAAUACAUCAUCCUUGAAAGAGGGACAUGAGUAUACUUUUGGAUCUUAUAUCAUCCUUGAAAGAGGGAUAUGGGUGACAAAGCAUUAGUGAACAAUAGUUAGAUAUAGCUUAUUUCAUUUUCAUUAUCUUACAAAUAAAGGUGGAUUGAGAAUUAACUAGGUCUUGGGCAUCUUUCUAGAAAUAGGGAUGCCCAAUUGAGGUGUUGGGUGUAUUUUCUUGCCACAUCCAUGAGGUAUCCGAAAAGGUCCUUGGGUGUUAAUCUUGAGGUUUUGUUGACAAAUUAGCAUCAAGAGCCCCUAACCUAGCCUACUCAUGUAGUUGUUAACUAGAAUUUGCAUUCCAUUCUCAUGAAACAAUGCAUUAUUUGCCCCUAGGAAGACAUAAUCCCAAGACUUGUCUCAUAUUGAAAUCUUAUCCACAUUUGUUGCCUUGAAUUGGUAGUUUGAUUAGAUUUUGGUAAAAUAAUUUUCCAAACCAGCCCCCCUCCCAAUUUUAAAUCAUGUAUUUCAUUUUGUUUACAUUACGGGUAUCUCUUUAGCAGCUAUUAACACCCAUAGGAUUUGAAGACUAAUUUCACUCCUCGAGGAUUCGACCCCAACUCACAUUGGGUUAAUAUACUUGACAACGCUUGUCUUGCUCAUAUAUAUGUAAUUGUAUAUGGUUAUAUACAUUGGUUCGACUUGGUUUUGAAUUGAUGGCAUUACUUUAUCUUUAUCCCUGAGUACAUGCUAGUGUUCACCACUAACUAUCUCCAAACGCUGCAUCCCCAUGCGAUGUAGGCGCCGUAGCAAUUUCUACUUUUCCUGUGCAAGUUUAGGUGGAUAAGCCUGGUUCGUUGGUCUUUGGUAGUGAAGUGGUGAGCUUCCAUUCUUCCGAAAGACAUCCAUUUCAUCAGUUUCUUUCCAUAAUUUAGAAAUGAAAAGUUCACAUUAACAUUACAUUGUGAUUGUGAUUGUCAGAGUCGAGGGGCAUGCCCCAACUUUUUAUUGGUACUCAUUUGGUAGAGGCUUUGUUUUGACUACUGUGGACAUGGGUGGUAUGAUUUGGUUUGGUUUGCUUUGGUUGGUUUUGGUUAUAGACUAUUAUAAUGUCUUGAAGAUUGAAUUCUCUUAUCUUUUUAUGUUCGGAAUUCAUCCGACAGGGGGUGUAAGGUGUAGACGGUGGUUUGGGUAUUUGGGGGUGGUCUCCGGUAAUUGUUGGACUUGAGAUACCCAUUACGGUCAGCCCCUGGUUCGGGUUAUGACCCCCAAGACUUGUCUCAUAUUGAAAUCUUGUCCACAUUUGUUAUCUUGAAUUGUUAGUUUGAUUAUAUUUUGGUAAAAUAACUUUCCAAACCAACCCCCCCUCAUUUUAAUAUAUGUAUUUCAAUUUCUUUACAUUAUGGGUAUCUCUUUAGUAGCUAUUAACACCCUAGGAUUUGAAAACUAAUUUCAUUCCUCGACGAUUCGACCCCAACUCACGUUGGUUAAUAUACUUGACAACGAUCGUCUUGCCCAUAAAUCAUAAAGUAUGUUGAACGUUAUCAAUAGGGUUGCUGCCCUUGUGAAAGAACGUCAACUCAAUGACUCUCUUUUCUCCCAUCCUUAACUUUUGACCUAAUUCUCACAAUGACCAAUCAACCACCUCAGGCAACCGGCCUACCAGAUCCAAUGGUUAGCCAGUCUGAGCACAGUGUUCCAUCUUCUGAGGCUACAAGGGUAAGCCAGUUUAUGAGGUUGAGUCCUUCAAGUUUUACUGAUGUUAAGUUUAAGGAGCACCCUCAAGGUUUUAUUGAUGAGAUGGAGAAGAUCUCCUGAAUUAUGCAUGCUUCGGAUGUUGAGGGUGUGGAGUUCACUACUUAUCAAUUGUAGGAUGUAGCGUACCAAUGGUAUAAGGAAUGAGAGCAGUCUAGGGAAGAUAAUAUUGACUCUGCACUGUGGGAUGAUUUCUUUAGUGCCUUUUUGGACUGCUUCUUUCCUUAGGAGUUAAGAGAGGCGAAAGUGGAGGAGUUUGUCAAUCUGAAGAAAGGUAGGAUGUCGAUCAAGGAGUAUGCCUUGAAAUUCCAUCAGUUGUCCAGGUAUGCUUCUUAGUUGAUGUCUAACAUGAGGGCUAGAAUGCAGAAAUUUACUUCUAGGCUAUCUCGUGAGUUGAUUUUAGAGAGUAAGUAUGCCUUGUUGAACAAGGUUAUGGACAUCUCUAGAUUGGUUGUGUAUAUGCAGGAGGUUGAGGAAGAAAAGAAGAAGCAGACGGAGAUAGGAGAGAGGUAGAGUAAGAAAUUUAGAUUUUUUUAUCAGGGUAAAGGCCAACAACAAAGCGGUAGAGAUAGAUAAAAGUGGUUUAAGUAGAAGUAAGGGAGCUCUGGUUCCUACUCUAUGGUUAGUGCUCCUUAUCUGAAACCUUCGGGUGAUCAUCGUUUUCAGAGUGGCAAUAGUUCCAGGGAAAGGGUGCCUAAUCUCAAAUUGGUGGGCCUCAGUCAGCUCCAUCCCAUCCUCCUUGUAGAUUCUAUGAGCGGUUUCAUCGUGGAUUUUGUGAUGAAAGAAAGAAUAAGUGUUUUAGAUGCGACCAACUUGGCCAUAUAUUCAGAGAAACUACCCUACAGGUGAUGUUGCUACGGGGGAAAAUAAGGCUCCUGUUGCCUCUUUAUCAGCUCCUGCACCAAAAGGUAUUGCUUCUGCUUCUGGUACCGGUACUGGCCGAAAUUACUUGUACGUUUUUACUUCUCUCUAGGACUCUGAGGGAUCUCUCGAUGUCUUUACUGGUAUGUUGAAACUCUUUUCCCAAUAUUUGUAUUGUUUACUUGAUCCGAGGUCCACUCUUUCUUAUGUGACCCCAUUCGUGGUUGUGCAUUUUAAUUUUAGUCCUAAGUGUAUUCCUUAUCCCUUUUAUGUAUCUACCCCGAUGGGUGACUCUGUGGUUACUAGAAGAGCCUAUAGGUGAUGUGUUAUAUAUGCUGGUGGUAGAGAAACUCUGGUAGAUUUGAUUGAGUUAGAAAUGGUUGAUUUUGAUGUCAUAUUAGGGAUUGAUUGGUUGCAUUCGUGCUAUGCCUUAUUAGAUUGUUGAACCCGUAAGGUCAUGUUUAGAUUCCCUAAUGAGCUGGUCGUUGAAUGGGAAGAGGAUUCUUUGGUGCCUAAUAGGAGGUUCAUAUCAUAUCUUAGAGCUCGAAAGUUGAGUUCAAAAGGGUGUCUUUAUCAUUUGAUCCGAGUUAAAGAUUCUAACUUGGAGGGUCCUUCUUUAGAAUCUGUUCCCGUGGUAAAUGAAUUUUCCAAGGUUUUUCCUGAUGAUCUUCCUGGUGUCCCUCCCAAUAGAGAAAUUGAUUUUGGGAUUAAUUUUGUUCCAGACAUUUGCCCUUUUAUCCCUCCUUAUAAAAUGGCUUCGGCUGAGUUGAAGCUGCUUAAGGAGUAGUUGAACGACCUCCUAGAUAAAGAUUUCAUCUGUCCUAGUAUGUCUCCAUGGGGUGCGCCUGUUUUGUUCAUGCACAAGAAGGAUGGUUCCCUGGGGAUAUGUAUUGAUUACCGCCAGUUGAAUAAGGUGUCGAUGAAGAAUAAGUAUCCUCUCCCUCGGAUUGAUGAUUUAUUUUAUCUGCUCCAGGGUGCUAGAUGUUUCUCUAAGAUUGAUCUUAGGUCGGGUUAUCAUCACCUAAAGAUUAGGGAAGUGGAUAUCCUCAAAACUACCUUCGGAACCCGAUAUGGUCAUUAUGAGUUUUUAGUCAUGUCUUUUGGGUUGACCAAUGCCCCGACGACAUUCAUGGACCUGAUGAAUAGGGUUUUCCGCCAGUUCUUGGAUUUGUUCGUUAUUGUAUUCAUAGAUGAUAUUCUGGUGUACUCUAAGAGAGGCGGAUCAUGCUGAUCACCUCCGCAUCGUGUUACAAAUCCCGAAAGAUCAGCAGUUGUAUGCCAAAUUUUCUAAAUGAGAGUUCUGGUUGAAAGUUGUUACUUUUCUGGGUCAUGUUAUUUCUAGAAAAAAGAUCAUGAUAGAUCCACAGAAAGUGGAAGUGGUUUAGAAAUGGCCUAGACCCAUGACUCCAAGUCGAUAUUCGGAGCUUCUUGGGUUAAGUGGGUUACUAAAGGAGAUUUGUAGAGAGUUUCUCAACUAUAGCUACCUCGUUGACUAAGUUUACCUAAAAGAUGGUGAUAUUCUUGUGGUCUGAGGCUUGUGAAGGAAGUUUUUGAGAAGUUGAAAGAUAAGUUGACUUCAACUCCAGUUUUGACCCUGCCUGAGGUUAAAGAUGGAUUCGUGAUUUAUUGUAAUGCUUCCUGUAUGGGACUUAGGUAUGUGUUGAUGCAACAUGGUAGGCAGUUAACGAUUUAUGAGAAGAACUACCCAACUCAUGAUUUGGAGUUGUUAGAUAUGGUAUUCGCAUUGAAGAUCUGGCGCACUAUCUCUAUAGAGUUCAUGUGGACAUCCUUUCUGAUCAUAAGAGUCUGCAACAUGUAUUCACAUAGAAAGAUCUUAAUAUCAGGCAGGCAAAUGGGUAAAGCUACAACAUGAGUCUCCAUUACUACCCAGGUAAAGCUAACAUAGUUAAUGAUGCUCUUAGAAGGUGAUCUAUGGAAAGUCUAGCUCAUGUAGAUGAGGAUAAACGGGAAUUGGUAAAGUAUAUUCAUCGUUUGGCUAACCUUGGGGUUCGUCUCUUGGAAUCUGAGGAUGGUGGUGUGUUUGUGCAUCAAGUGGCGCAGUUAUCUCUUGCUGAUGAGAUAAAGGAGAAGCAGGUAUUGUAUCCUGUCUCAAUGAAGAUUAAGGGAGAUAUGGGUCAGCAAAAGGUUGUAGCUUUUGUGAUUGGUAGCGAUCGUAUCUUGAGGUACCUAGGCAAACUGUGUUUCCGACAUAGAUGGAUUGCGAGAGAUGAUCUUGGCUGAGGCUCAUGGGUCGUGUUAUACUAUUCAUCUUAUUUCGAUGAAGAUGUAUCAUGAUCUUAAGGAGAUUUAUUGAUAGAAUAAUAUGAAUCGAGAUGUGGCCAAUUUUAUGGCUAAAUGCAUGGUGUGUCAACAAGUGACGGUUGAGCACUUGAGGCCUGAUGGGUUGUCUCAGGAGAUUGAGUUGCCUAUAUGAAAUAAGGGAGAUAAUAAUAUGGACUUUGUUACCAGCCUUCCUCAGUCUCAAAAUCAGUUUGAUUCAAUUUGGAUUAUCGUGGAUAGGAUACUAAGUCUAAUCACUUCUUGCCAGUGAGGACUAAUUAUUUAGCUGAGGAUUAUGCCAAGUUGUUUCUUGGGGAGAUAGUGAAGUUGCAUGGUGCUCUGAUUUCUAUUAUUUCGGAUCGUGGUAAUCACUUCUCAUCUCACUAUUGGCGAUCGUUUCAGAGAGGUUUGCGAACUAAGGUGAGCCUCAGUACUGCAUUUCACCCACAAACAAAUAGGCAAGCGGAAAUGACAGUUCAGGUCUUGAAAGAUAUACUUCGGACUUGUAUGAUUGACUAUGGUAGUAGUUAGGUCGAUCAUUUGCCUCUCAUAGAGUUUGCGUAUAAUAAUAAUUAUCACUCUAGCAUUGGUAUGGCUCAUUUUGAGCAUUGUAUGAUAUAAGGGUGUCAAACGGGUCGGGUUGACCCGGCCCACUUAAUAAACCCAGCCCGAUCAGCCCCUGGCCUGUAGGGUAUCGGGUACUGGGCUGGAUUAAUUUUUUUUGGGCCCAAUUAACCCAGCCCGGACCAAAUCCGAUCCAGGCCCACCGAUUAAUCGGCCCAACCCGACCCAGCUAGUUUUUUUUUAAAAUAGAUUUUAAUUAAAAAUGGUCGUUGGGCCAUUAUAGCUGUUGGGCCCAACGGUCAUAUAGCCGUUAGGAGCCCAAAACGGCUAUAAUGGCCUUUUUAUUAAAAAAAAAUAUCAAUUAAAUUAUUUCUUUAAACCCAAAAAAUUUUCUAGAAAUACCCUACACUUUCAAAUCAUUUUCCACACAAUUUUUCAUUCUCUCAAAUCUCAAUCUCUCUCAAAUCACAAUUCUCGAUUCUCAAAUAUUCUAUAUAUUUUCUAAAGUGCUCACUUUAAUUUUUUAAUUUUGCGAUUACAAAGUACGAAUGAAAGUUUCUAAAGUCGCAACCUUCGGAUACUUCUAAAAUUUGGUAUUGUCGUUCCAUCUCUAACAUUUAAUUUUUAAUUGGUGUACUAAUUAUUGAAUAUUUAAUUUUAUUUUAUUUGUAUAUUUUAAUUUUUUUAUUUAAAUUUAUAUUAUGGAUUAAUUAAGAAACCUCGCCACUAAAGGUGUUAAAAUUUUUUGUCCCAGAAGUGGUAGUGGUACUUCAAGUAGUAGAUAUACCCGUGUACCUCUGCCUCCGAUACCGCUUAGUCAACCUUUUGAGGAAGAAAUAGGUGUAGGUGCUCACGAUAUGAAUUAUGUAGAAGCUCAAAAAAAUUAUUGUAUAAAAGAAAAUAAAGCAGAUGCGAUUAAUUUAGAUGAAGAUGAUGAAAAUAUUGGUGAGACACCCACAGUAGAAAAUGCUAACGUUAGAUCUAAAUCGGUUAAUCUCCCUCCUCGUCCUCUUCAUGCCGCAAGAGCUCGUAAAACAACUAAUAUUGGAUGACAACUUUUUGAACGUAUAUCAGAUAUUGAGGUGCAAUGCAAUAUUUGUUAACAAAUAUAUAAGCAUAAAAGAGGAGGCAAGCAAGGGGGUACGGGUACGUUAAUGUGACAUAUAAAUGAUAAUCACGAUAGAGAGUUAAAAAUUGCACAAAGUGAUGCAGAUGUUGAUGGACCAACACAAACUAGAAUGGACCCAACAAUUGAUCAAGUAAUGAAGAAGUAUAAUAAAUCGAGGGACCGGAAAGAAAUAGCAAAAAUGAUAAUUGUGGGUUGUUUGCUUUUUAGUUUUCCUUCAUCUGAUAUCUUUAUUCACUAUAUUCAAGCAAUUUAUAAUCUUAUGUUUAAUGGUAUUCCUAGAAGUACUUGUAGAGCCAAUAUUUUUAGACUUCAUUCACAAUAUUAUUUUUAUUUAUCAACAUUGUUAAAAAAUAUUCAAUAUAGAAUAUCCCUAACUUCUGACCUUGGUCGUGCUGUAAAUAAAAAUGAUUAUUUAACCAUUACUUGUCACUGAAUAGAGAGUAAUUUUGUUAUGCAAAAACGUAUUCUUGCUUUUUAUAUGAUGAAGAUCGUAAACAUACUAGAGAUUUUAUUGUUGAUUCGAUUGCUAAAGUAGCAGAAUUUUACGGUAUUGAAAAUAAAAUCUUAUGUAUUACUUUUGAUAAUGCUUCUAACAACAAUAUUGCUAUAACAAAAUUAAAAUCUAAGCUAUCUCCGUCGUUACCUAAAAUUUUUCAUGUUAAGUAUGCUUGUCAUAUAUAUAAUUUAAUUGUAAGAGAUGAUCUUGAGAUUUUUGAGCUUUAUAUUGAAAAAAUUUGGCUUGCUGUUGAUUUUAUCCAAGGAAAUAAUUGUAGAAAAAGAAUUAGACUUUAAACUCAUAUGUGAACAAAAUAGACUUACACCGAUAAUGAUGCCCGAAGAAUGUGAUACUAGAUGGAAUGCUACGCAUGAUUUUUUAAAAACUUGUUAUAAAUAUAGAGUUCCUAUUACACUAUCUUUUAACCAACAUUGUGGUUCGUUUGCUGAUUUUGCCCACUACAUGCUACAUGAUUAUGACUGGGUUGUAAUUAAUGAUCUUGUUAAGUUUUUGGAAAAAAUUUAUAUAGCUACGAUUGAAUUUUUCGGUGCUUAUUAUCCUACAAUUUGUAAUAUUUUGGCAUAUAUAGCCGAUAUUUCUGGUUUGCUCAAAGAAUAUAAAAAUAAAGAAGGUUACAAAGAAACUGUUGGUGUCAUGUUUACUAAAUUUAAAAAAUAUUUUUUUUCUGAUUUCCCCUAUUUACUUGGUUGGCAUUAUGCUGAAUUCGUGCAUGAAAUAUACUACUAUGUACCACUUUAGUACUCUUAUUUAUGCUAACUUAGAGAUAAAUACUAACCAUGAUUCUGAUGAUGAAGAACAAGAACCUGAUUUGUGGACGGCUAUGGCCGAUGCGAACGCUUACAUAGAUAAAUUAUAUAACCACUAUGUUAAUUUAGUUGAUUUAGCUGUGCCGACAAAUAUCACUUCAACUGUCGCUCCUCAUCCUCCCGAAGAGUUAUCAUCUUCUAAAAGGCCGGCACAUAGUGAUUUUCCUGAUUACUUUUAUGAUUUACCUUGUUGGAACAGUGUUGAGGCGGGAGCUUACACAACAACUUAUCGAAAAGAGCUGAAGUAUUAUCUCCGAACGUCGUUAGAGGAUCGCAGACGACGGAUCAACGCGUUGGAUUGGAGGAGAAAUAAUGAAGCACGAUAUCUUGUGCUUUCAUGAUUAGCUAGAGAUAUCUCGAAUGUUCCAAUGUCAACCGUUGCAUCGGAGAGUGCUUUUAGUCAGGGAUGACAACAGCUUAGAGACAACCGACAUUCAUUGGGAAGCAAUGCAAUGAAUGUUCUAGUUUGCCUUAGAGAUUAGAUUAGAGCGGAACGAAGAAAUCAAGGAAUGAAAGCGGAACCGAACAACGAGCAGAGACUUGAAGAAAUUAUGACUUCACAGGAGAACUCAGUAGAAUCAAGUUCAUUGCAUGGUUUUGCCCCCAUUGACUUUGACCAUCUUAUGCAAUUUCCUGUUAAUAUUAACGUGAAUGAAUCGAAAAAAAUGAUGCAAAAUUUGUAGAUUUUUCAUCCAUAUAAAUUAUAAAUCUUGGGUCAUUUUACAAUCAAUAAAAUUCAAUAUUCAUUCACUCCUUAGUCCUUACUUUGUAAUUUUUUCCAUUUAAUGAUUUAAAUUGAAUUUUUAGUUAAAAUUAAAUACUUAGUUUUAAUAUAUUACUAAUUUACUAUAAAGUAUUAUUAAUUUAUUAUAUUAAGUAGCAUAUGUUUUAUUUAAAGAAGUACAUAUAGAGUCUAUAUAUACUUAUAUAUUGAAUGAUACGUAUAUAUGUGUAUAUAUUUUCUAAAGUAAUAUAUAUUUAACGUAUACAUGUGUAUAUGUGUAUUGCACCUAGCUUGAGGGCUUAUGUGUGCCUCAAGUGAGCCUUCAACAAUAUUGUUAUUGAUUGUGAAAUGCUGAAGAAAAAUGUGUUGAGGCUUUUCUGAUUUUUUGGAAAAUUUCCUUUCUAGUUAAAUAAAAAGUUUCUACAGUUACUUGCAUCUUAACUGGUAUUUGAUAUCCUCAUUCUUCGUGUAUGGUGAUAUUUUUGCAUCUAACAGAACCAUUGUUUUGGACCAUGGCAAUCCAUCUAUGAAGAGUCAGGCGAAAGCAAUGGCUGCAGCUGAAGCUAAUCCGUGGAGGAUGGGUUUCAAGGAAAAGAAAGAGCAGCCUUUUAAAAAACGGAAGCCAGAGCCACCUCCAGGUAAUUUCAGAACUGAAGUCUAGAGGUUUCUUAUGUUUUCUGCUUGUAGUCCAGUCAGUGUUAUUUCAUGUCCAGGUGUUGGAAAGAGUAUAACUUCAUUAUUUUAGUUGUUUAUGUUUCCUGUCUUUUCAUUUAACUUAAUGGAUUGCAGGGGGAUCUUACGGAGCUUCUUACAAAUCUGGCCCGUCCGCAGCAACUCAAUCAAAGGGAAAGCCUUCUGCUUCACCUUUAUCUUCUCCACCUGAAUCAUCUGGCGCUCCAACAUCUCCAUUUGGCAAUGUCAAUCUCUUGAAUGUGAUACCCACUCAAGCAAUGACUAAGUCUACUAGUUCCAACAAAGAAAUUCCUAGCAAGGCGACAUCAUGUUCUUCACAGGAUAAAGUAAGGCGCAACGUCUAAUGAUCUGCGUAGCAUGUUGAUAUCCUUACUUAUGGAGAACCAGUCCAAGGAUAUUAGUCUUAAGGUAAGUGUGAACAGUAAUUGGACCUUUCUUAAUUUAGCUAGCGAUGUGCUGUAAGAGGUGGAAGUGUAAGUUCAGAGCAAAGAUGUCCUUUUCCCUUUGGUUUAUUGCUCUUUUCUUGACAUGGAGUACUUGGUAUAUUCUAAAGUAUAUCUCGAUACUGCAUCAGAUUCAUCCCUUUUCCCCUUUUAAUAUCUUGUGGGUUCUUAGGCAGUGGAGAAAGCUGUUGGAGACACGUUCCCAAACUCAGCCAAGCAAAUUGAGCCCAUUAUGAAAAAGGUAAAUGGUACAUGCUGUUUCUAUAAUUCUGGUAAGUGUCCGUAACACAAUAGUUAUAACACUCCAUACAUUGAUUUCUGGGGGCAGAUUGCUGUAUACCAAGCUCCAGGAAGAUACUUCUUGAAACCGGAAGUGGAUACUGAAAGCUUCCUGAAAACUGCCCCUGAAAGUGGAAGGUACAAAAGUUUCUCCAGGCUGUUUGUUAUUUUGUUUUUGCCUUUUCUCUUUGAAUCCAAAUUGUAUCCGUCUUGGAGAGACAAAUCUGAUCUGCAUUUAGCACGAAUAGUCACAUUGAAGUCUCCCUAAGUACACUUGUAGGAGCAAAGAAACUUUCGACCGGAGAAAAACAUAGAAAACGUUUGUGAUACUAUUAAGCAAAAAUACCAUGACAUUUUCCCUCCAUUUUGAGCUGGAACAAUCUAGGAGCAUAUACAUGUUUUUGAUGUUCCAAAGGUUAAAAUAUAUUUUUGAAUUCGUCCUUUCUUUCGAUUUCCAAUUUAAAUGGUAUGAUGCUAACAUACAGAGAUCAUUUCUGUAUGUAUUUUCUUGGCCAUUCCCCCUUAUGGGGGGUGGGGGAGAGUAUUUCUGAUCAAGAGAUUUUUUUUUUGGUCUUCUAUAUCUGUUUCAUUUUCUUGAGCCGGGGAUCUAUCGGAAACAGCCUCUCUACCUCGUUAGAGGUAGUGGUAUGGACUGCGUACACUCUACCCUCCCCAGACCCCACUAUGUGGGAAUAUACUGGGUUUGUUGUUGUUGUUGUAUACAUGUGUAUAUGUUUUAUAAAUUUGUAUAUAACUAUAUAUAUAGUGUGUGUAUAUAUUGUAGUAUAUUUUAUUUAAAGUAGUAUGUAUUUAUUGAAUGGUACGUAUAUAUGUGUAUAUAUCUUCUAUGAACGUGUGUAUAUAUUGUAGUAUAUUUUUUUUAAGUAGAAUGCAUAUAUUGAAUGGUACGUAUAUAUGUGUAUAUAUCUUCUAUAGACGUAUAUAUUUAACGUAUACAUGUGUAUAUAUUUUAUAGAUUAGUAUAUAACUAUAUAUAUAAUGUGUAUAUAUUGUAGUAUAUUUAUUUAAAGUAGAAUGUAAGUAGAAUGUAUAUAUUGAAAUGGUACGUAUAUAUGUGUAUAUAUCUUCUAUGGACGUAUAUAUUUAACGCAUAUAUGUGUAUAUGUUUUAUAAAUUAGUAUAUAACUAUAUAUAUAGUGUGUGUAUAUAUUGUAGUAUAUUUUAUUUAAAGUAGUAUGUCUAUAUUGAAUGGUACGUAUAUAUGUGUAUACAUCUUCUAUAGACGUAUAUAAUUAAUGUGUACAUGUGUAUACAUAUACACUAUAUAUUUUAUAUGUGUACAUAUAUAUUGAAUGGUGUGUAUAUAUGUGUAUAUUUUCUAAAGUAGUAUAUAUUUAACGUAUACAAGUGUAUAUGUUUUAUAAAUUAGUAUAUAACUAUAUAUAUAGUGUGUGUAUAUAUUGUAGUAUAUUUUAUUUAAAGUAGUAUGUAUAUAUUGAAUGGUACGUAUAUAUGUGUAUAUAUCUUCUAUGGUACAUAUAUAUUACAUGUGUAAUUGUGUAUAUGUAUUAUAUGUAUAUAUCUUUUAAAUAGUAAUGUAGUAUAUACUAUACAUAUAGUAUAUAUCUAUUGUUUAACGUAUUGAAAAUGUAUAUAGAUGGGUAUAUAUAGUGUUUAUUGGAGAAAAAACUUUUAUUUUUUGGUUUUCGACCGGAUUUUUAAUCGAUUUUGAUCGGGUUUAGGUGGGUUGGACUGGGUUGGGUUAAGUGGGCCGAUUCAGGGUUGUUUUAAAAUUUUUUACUGUUGGGCCCAGAAUCGGACCAGCCCGUUUAACUAGGCUCGAAUCCGAACCGGCCCACAAAUCGAAUAAAAUUCACGGGCCGGUUUCGAGUUGACCCGGCUCGGCCCACUUAACACCCUUAGUAUGACAGGAAGUGUCAUUCUCUUGUUGGAUGGUAUGAAGUUGGUGAAAAUGAGUUGUUUGGUCCUGACUUAGUUUACCAGCCAUGGAGAAAGUGAAGAUGAUUCUGGAUAAACCGCUCAAAGUCGCCAAAAGUCCUAUGCAGAUGUGAGGCGUAGGGAGUUAGAGUUUGAGUUUAGUGAUUGGGUGUUCUUAAAGGUGUCUCCUAUGAAGGGGUGAUGCGAUUUAGUAAAAAAGGAAAGCUUAGUCCUCAUUAUGUUGGUCCGUACUUGGUUUUGAAGAGGGUUGGUAGUGUUGUGUAUGAGUUAGAGUUGCCUUCUAGUUGAGCUCUUCAUUCAUCCGGUAUUUCAUUUCUCGAUAUUAAGAAGGUGCGUGGGUGAUCCUUUGUCGAUUGUCCCUUUGGAGGGGUUGGGUAUUUUGGACUCCUUGUCUUAUGAGAAAGUCCAAUUGAAAUCUUGGAUCGACAAGUUCAUUGGUUGCGGACGAAGGAUGUGGUUUCAGUAAAGGUUCUUUAGAGGAACCACAAAGUUGAAGAGGCCACUUGGGAAGCUGAAGAGGACAUGAAGUCCAAGUAUCAGUUCUUGUUUCCCAUUCCGAAAAUCGUGCCCAAGGAAUAUGUUAUUCUUACCAUCUUUAUUUUCUAACUUUGUUAAAAGAAAGGGUGAUUUCCUUGGCAUCUUCGUUUUCUAACUUGGUUAAAGGUAAAAGUAAAGGUCUAUGGAGUCCAAUCGUGCUUAUGUUGCCUUGACCCAUCAUUCGAAGAUGAAUGAUCCAAGUUAGGGAGAAUGUAACGCCCCAAAUUUUUAGCCCUUGAAAAAUUCUUGUGCUUAGGGCUCACUCUCUUGGUCACGACUCGUGGUGAUAAGUUGUGAGAUGUGGUUACGGGUCAUAGGACCCUGGUCAUAACCAAAUUCAAAACUUAGUGGCAAAUUUCUGCUCUGAGUAUAAGUGGCUUACUAUGAGACGUGAGGAUAUGUUACGAGUUGUAGGUUCAAAUCAUAUGAUGUCCAGUGUUUAAUUAAUUUGGGUUUUGCGUAGCUUAUGACUAGACCUUACGAGUCGUAAGAUCUCAUUAUGAGUGGGUUGGCAGAGUCGUAAGGUAGGCAGUUUAUGGGGGCCCUAAUCACUAUUUUGGUUAAGGUAUGGUUACGAGUCAAGGGGUUGACUCAUAACUAAAGGCGACUUUUUUCAUCUUUUAAGUUGAGGACAUUCUAGACAUUUCCCCUCUUUCCCAACUUAAAACCCACGUCUUAUAACUUCUUUAGGACAUUAUUAGCUAUCAUAAACACAUCAAAUAAUCUCUUAGAAUACUCCUAAAUCCUCAAGGGUCAAGAACACUUAGGGUUUUCAUGAAGCUAUUCAGUUGGGACUUUCAAGGAUAAUUUCUCUACGUACUUCUUGGUGAUUAAGGCAUGUUACUCUUCCCUCAUUGUUAUUUUAUUAAAAAGCACAUGUUUUAAGGUAUAACUUUUAUGGUAUUGUUAUGGUUUUGAAACAAAGAUUGGGGGGUUUUGAAUGCUUGUGGUUGAAUGAUGUUUUCCUAUGGUUUAAUUGUGAUUAUUCACGCUUUAAAUAUGGUUUUGAACAUGUGGGUGCAUGGGUAUUGUGAAUGAACUUAUAAAUUGUGAUUUCUUAAACUUGCGACUCUUCAACCGUCCAUGACCCCAACCCUGUAUGGUGAAACUGGUUUUCAGUUAUAAGAAAUAUGGGAAUUGAAUUGUGGCAUUAUGAUGUUGAAUUGAACCUUAUGGAACUAUGUUUUUACAAACUAUGGCUUUAAUGAACUAAAGGAGGUCGAGGUAUUCCUCCAAAUUGAUUUUAUGAACUAAAAUGGGGUGUGGCGUUCCCCCAAGUUAAACAUGAUUGUUAUGGCAUAGAGUUAAACUUGCAAGUGAAGGGUAUGGCGAUACCCCUGUAUGACUUAACAGUUGGUUCAUUGAUCAAUAAUUGAAAUUAUGUGCAGCUUGUUUUAAAUUAGCUUAAUGGGAAUUAUAUAGCAAUGUUGAGAAGGUGUGGGUCUUGCAUGACUUGUACUGGGAACUCGUGUUUACCGACAUAAGUUUUGGUCUUGAUGACCUGUGUGCAUGAGUCACACUUGAUAUAUGUUGGGAUGGAUAAUUGCCUAGAUGGCUUAGCUUUCCCUCAGAUUUUAUCUGGAACGUGUGGCUAACACGCACCGGGGCCCUUUCAACAGGGGGAGCUAUACCCAUAUAGCCCGUGAGUGCCUAUUAUGACGGUUGAGCUACAUAGUCCAGGAUAAAGUUUCCCUUCAUGAUUAAACUUGUUCCCUAUACCGGCAUUAUAUAUAUAUAUAAUUGCAUAUGGUUAUGUACAAUGGUUUGACUUGAUUUUGAAUUGAUGGCAUUACUUUAUCUUUAUCUUUAAGUACAUGCUAAUGUUCACCCCACUAACCGUCUCCGAGCGCUGCAUCCCCACGCGAUGUAGGUGCCGGAGCAAUUUUUACUUUCCCUGCGCAGAGUUAGGUGGAUCAGUCCAGUUCGUUAGUCUUUGAUGGUGAAGUGGUGAGCUUCCAUUUCUCCGAAAGACUUAGUCAUUUCAUCCGUUUCUUUCCAUAAUUUAGAAAUGAAGAGUUCACAUUGUCAUUGUCAGAGUCGGGGGCAUGCCCCAACUUUUUAUUGGUACUCAUUUGGUAGAGGCUUUGUUUGGACUACUGUGGACAUGGGUGGUAUGAUUUGGUUUGGUUAGACUAGUAUAAUGUCUUUAAGAUUGAAUUUUCUUAUCUUGUUAUAUGUUCAGAAUUCAUCCGGCAAGGGGUGUACGGUAUAGACGGUGGUUUGGGUAUUUGGGGGUAGUCUCUAGUCCUUAUUGGACUUGAGAUACCCGUCACGGCCAGGCCCUGGUUCGGGUCAUGACCCCUAAGACUUGUCUCAUAUUAAAUCUUAUCCAUAUUUGUUGCCUUGAAUUGGUAGUUUGAUUAGAUUUUGGCAAAACAACUUUCCACCCCACCCCACCCCCAUUUUAGUUCAUGUAUUUCAUUUUGUUUACAUUACGGGUAUCUAUUUAGUAGCUAUUAACAACCAUAGGAUUUGGAGACUAAUUCCACUCCUUGAGGAUUCGACCCAAACUAACAUUAGGUUAAUAACUUGACAAAAAUCGCCUUACCCAUUAAUCAUGAAGUGGGUUGAGAGUUAUCAAUAGGGUUGCUGCCCUUGUGAAAGAACGUCAACUCAAUGGCUCUCUUUUCUCUCAUCCUAAACUUUUGACCUAAUUCUCACAAUGACCAAUCAACCAAUUCUGGCAACUGGCCUACUGGCUCCAAUGGCUUACCAAAACCUACUAACCCUUUUUCAAUUCCCACCUCUCCCUUCCAAGAACAUUCAUGAGCCUUCCACGUACAAUACUAGCGCUAACAAAAUCCAAAAAGAUGAAGCAUCCCCAAAGAAAUAUUUUGGUGCACUUUUUAACAUUGAAUAUGAUAAUGGAGUACCAAUGGUAACGUGAACUCAAGCUGAGGUCAAUCGCAUGAACAUUAUAGAACAUCUCCAAUAUUCUAUUAUUGGAAAAUUCUCUUUCAAUUGGCCUAGCAUUGAAGAUCUAAGGAAAGCAGUUCCUUCACAGUGUAGUAUCAAAGCUGACUGUCGCAUAGAGUAUUGCGAAAUAAACAUAUUCUUAUUAGAUGUGUCCUAGUAGAAGAUUUCGUUAAUGUGAUGUCUAGAACCUCGUAUUAUAUCAAGGACAAGAAUGACCAAGAUUUUCAGAUGUGUUCUUUGAUUUAUGAUGCAAAGUUCAAGGUGAAUAAGGAAACUACGCAAGCUAUGACAUGGAUUUCAUUCCCUAUUCUACUGCUUACCUUUUCUGUUAAAAACACACUUUUUACAAUAGCUUUAGCGUAGGAAAGUCAUUGCAAUUAGAUAUGGCCACCCAAUAAAACCAGACCUAAUUAUGCUAGGGUCAAGGUUUAGGUCGACCUAUUAUCUACGCUCCUUCAUUCGAUGAAAAUGAAAAUCAAAGAUGAUAAAUCAGGAAGUGAGAGCACAGAAACUAUCAAGAUACAAUAUGAUCUGCUCCUUAAAUUUGUACCAAUUGUAAUUUUCAAGGACAUAACACAAGUAUUGUAGAAUGUUACAACCGGAACUAAGACAACAAAUGCAAGGCAACAAUGAUGAAGGCACACAAUCUCUAGUAGAGAGAUCACCUCAGAAACAAAAGAAGUCCAAAACAUUUCUUCCAAGGAGACAGAUAAGCGGCAAAAUAGUUGGUGAUCUACAGGUUUGGAAAGAAAAAGAAAAUAUCAUACAAGACAUAAAACAUAAUAACAUGAAGGCAAUGUACAACAAAUCUGAUGAUGAUUAGAAAAUUGCAACCAAAAUUAAAUUUGAUACAUUGACAGACUUGAAUCGUGAACAGGGAGAAAGAAAAGAUAAUCAAGACAUAGGAGAACUUUCCGAUAAGCAACAUGUGAAGAUGGAUAGCUUUGGUGAUAAUGAUAAUACACAGGAGCUACAAAAUAAAGAUGCAAGAAAAGAAGUUCAAUAAGUAGACAUUCAACGCACCACGGAAGAAAAGUGACUGCAACAGUAGCAACAAUGGAGGAAAAGGUGAGAGGACAAGGGCUUGGGUGGAAGGAGUUUUUGAAAAAUCAUCCCAACAAAGAUCUAGGAAGUGGAGAGAUAGGGUAGAAUAGGAGGAUGGGAUAGAGGAUGAAGAAGUGGGAUCGUAUAAUAGCUUAUGUGAAGGGAAGAAAAUGGGCACAAAAUCUUUUAAUGCUAUUAUAUUAGCACCAGAUAUUGUUACAACUAUUAAAGAUUUGCAAUCAUAUGAGAAUUUGGUUGAAUAUUAUCCACCAAAAAAAGGAGCAUGCAGCCAUAACAAAUGAUGAAGCCAGGGUUCCACUUGAAAGUAAUGAUAUUCAAACGACAAAAUAUCCUAAUAGGAAGUUGUAAGGAAUUGUUACUCAUUCUUCAAGAGAAGAAGAGGUAGAAAAGGAAAAAUUAAAAAAAAGGAGGACGUAGUUCAAAUAAUUCUCCCAAACAAAAAGGAGGCAAAAGAGGUAGUAAAGAAGGAAAUACAGAACUGCAACAGUCUAAUGUGAGACUGGCCAGAAGUGUUGACACUAAAUUUAAUAGCAUGUGAUGAUUAAAGUCAUUUUUUGAAAUAUCAAAUCAGUGAGAACACAUCAAGCUUUUCAUAGGGUACAAAUGCCUUAUAGGCAUCAUAAGUUUACAUUGAUUGCACUAUUGUAGCCUAUUCAAAGACUAACUCAAAUUAACAAAUACAAAAGGAGACAAGGAAUGAAAAAUAAAGGUAGUAAUUGCAAUGUGAAAAUCUAGUACUUUGUAGAAUAUAAUGUGGACGUUGAAGCGGCUAUGGAUACAGGCCAACAAAUUACUUUAAAGCUUUUGUUACGGGAUUCAAAUAAGCAAUGUUAUACCUCUAUUGUAUAUGCUCAAUGCAUUGAGAGGGCAAGGUUAACUUUGUGGGACAAUAUUUAUCAAUUAUCUAAUAACAUGGAGCUACCAUGGUUUGUGGAAGGAGAUUUCAAUAUUAUUUUAAAUGAAAAGGAGAAACUAGGAGGUUUUUCUGUUCUCCCCCAAGAAGGGGAAGAUUUUGCUGUUUUGCAUCAACUCAUGUGAGCGGCAAGAGGUGAAUUACACAGGUAACCCUUUUACAUGGUGGAAUGGUAGAGUAGGGGAAGAUUUCAUUUUUAAAAGACUUGAUAGAGUUGUCAUCAAUAAACUCUGGCAAUGGUUUGAAGGAAUGGAAAUGGAACACUUAUGCAGAACAAGUUUAGAUCAUGCUUCAUUAUUGAUUACUAUGACGAAUAAAGGUAAAAUUUUCCAUAAACCUUUUAAAUUUUUUGAAGUUUUGUGCAGAUAAUGAAGGCUUUAUGGGGGUAGUGAGACAAAACUAGACUGCAGAUAAUGAGGGCAAUUGUUUUUACCAGUUUAAUCAGAAGGUUCAAAAAAGCACUGACUAUUUGGAGAAAGGAAACAUAUGGUGAUAUUUUCAAGUAUAUACUAAUCAGAGAAGAGACAAAAAAGAUUAAGAAGCAGUUGUUUAAUGAUGUUCUUGAUGCUGAGAAUAGGAUGGUUAUGCACCAGGCUCAAGCUGAACUCAAAAAAUACUGGCACUAUGAGGAAGAAUUUUGGAGGCAAAAAGCCAGUAUUACUUGAUACUCAGGAAGGUGACAAAAAUAUUAGUUCAUUUCGCAAUCUAGUUAUGGGCAAGAGAAAGAGGUUGCAAUCAAAAGUAUUCAGAAUGAAGAAGGGCAGUAGUUACAAGAUGAGGGACAUGAAGCUAAUGAGGCUAUCGAUUUUAUCAGAAGCAAUUCACUCAAGAGGAGGAGGCUAAUGAUUUCUCAAUUAUUAAUCAUGUGCCAGAAUUAAUUAGUAGAGAACACAAUGAGUUGAUGUGCAGGAAGCCAGAGUUGGAGGAAGAAAAGAAGGCUGUUUUUAAUCUACAGGGUUUCGUACUAGUCGUCCAGAUGGACUAAUAGGUUUAUUCUAUCAAAAAUAUUGGGAUAUAGUGGGAGGAGAUGUAUUUACGCUAGUUGAAGCUUUUUUUUUUUUGCAGGAAACCUAUUACUCAUACAAAUCUGGUGCUAUUACCAAAAAAGACUACCAUCCAGAUAUUUGCAGAUUUGAUACCUAUAAGCUCGAGUAAUUUUAUUGAUAAAGUUAUUUCUAGAGUGGUACAUGAUAGAUUAGAAGAUGUACUGUCUCUAAUUAUUUCUCCCAAUCAAUCAGAUUUUGUGAAAGAAAAAGCAUAAUAGAGAAUGUACUACUGACACAGGAAAUCAUCACUGACCUAAGGAAGAGAGGAAAGCCAAAUAAUAUUGUAAUAAAGCUGGAUAUGUCCAAAGCUUAUGAUAGAGUUUCUUGGCUGUACCUUUGUAAAGUUUUGAGAAAAUUGGGAUUUGAUGAAAUUUUUAUUGACAUGAUUUGGAGAUUACUAGCUAACAACUGGUAUUCUAUUUUGUUGAACGAGCAAACUCAAGGAUUUUUUCAUUCAACCAAGGGAGUGAGGCAAGGAGAUCCUUUAUCUCUAGUCCUUUUUAUCAUUUUAGCUGAAGUUUUGUCUAGAGCUUUGAAUUCUCUGACGGAGUCAGCGAAUUACCAAGGAUUUGAUAUGCUUAAGUGGAGUACCAAAAUUAAUCACCUAACUUAUGCAGAUGACACAAUUAUUUUCACCUCUGCAGAAACAAGUUUGUUAGGAAUGAUUAAAGAGGUUUUACAUGGGUAUGAGAAGGUGUCCGGUUAGUUAAUAAAUACAGAGAAAUCUUCUUUCUAUAUGUAUUAGAAGAUUCAAGAGGUUUUGCUUUAGGAGGUAGCUGACAUCACUGAUUUAAAAGAGGUGUUUUUCCUUUUAACUAUCUGGGUUGUCCCAUUUUUCAUGCUAGAAAGAAGAAAGUAUAUUAUAAUGAUCUAAUCAAGAAUAUCAAAGAUAGGCUACAAAAUUGGAACAAAAAACUUUUGUCAUUUGAAGGUAAAGCUGUAUUGAUUAACAAUGUGCUUCAGAGUAUGCCAAUUUAUCUGUUGUCUGUAAUGGCACCUACUAAGUACACUUUAAAUGAAAUUCAUAAAAUCUUUUCUAGAUUUUACUGGAUCAACAAGGAAGAAGGGAGAAGUAAGCACUGGUCAACAUGGUUGAAAAUCUACCUUUCUAAACAGGAAGGGGGCAUAGGCUUCAGGUCUUUAUUUGAUGUUUUCAAAUUCUUUUUUGCCAAAUUUUGGUGAAAGUUCAGAACUACAACAAUAAUGUGAAAAAAUUUCAUGUGAAAUAAAAUAUUGUAAAAAGUACUAACAAUGGUGAACUGGAAAGGGGGGUCAUAACUUUCGAAGAAAAUGUUGGAGGUUAGGGAUGAAAUAGAAUCCAAUAUUUGGUGGGAACCUAGAAAUGGUAAUGCAAACUUUUGGUUUGACAACUGGACUAGGUUGGAUCCUCUGAUUCAUCUCAUGCCCUCAAAUCAAAGAGACUUGAGAUUUGAAGAGGUAAAUCAUUUCAUGAAGGAAGUUUUGUGGAAUAAAAAUUUGCUCAGGCAUAACUUACCAUCUUAUCUGGUUGAGCAUAUCAUGACAGAAUUGCCCAAGAAAGGGAAAAAUAUAGCUUGUGAUAAACCAUGGUUUCUAGGCAUAAGCAAUGGAAAUUUUACUGUUAAGUCCUCUUGGGAAAUAUGUAGGCAAAGGGAAGAGACACAGGGGUUUUUUCACAAGAUAUGGACAGUUGGAUUACCUUAUAAAAUCUCUUUUUUCUUAUGGAGGGUGUGGAAGAAGAAACUACUUGUUGAUGAUGUUCUAGCUUCGAUGAUGAUCAAUAUUGUCUCAAGAUAUAGGUGUUAUGAACAACCUCAUCAGGAAAACCUAAUUCACUUUUUCCUGAAUGGAGAUUUUGCUAGAGAUAUUUGGAAUGUUUUACAGGGAUAGCAGGAGCACAAGGUUCGUUCAUACAAGUAAAUCAGGCAAUCACAAUGGUGGAAAAAAGAUUGUGCACCUAACUUGAAAUCGAUAUAUCAAGCUGCACAGCAGUGAUAUUAUGGCAAUUAUGGAAGAGGAGGAGCAAGUUAGUUCAUGGGGGAACAAUGUCAAGGAAUAAAGUGAUUUAUGACAUCAAUCAAAAUUUGUAUCUUCUUCCGAAGAUCAAAUUCCUUAGAUCACAGAUAUUCCUAAUAAUUGGGCUAUUUAAUUCUAAAACUGGAGACAUAUAUGCAACAAAUACAAUGCAAGUUUAUAAACUAGCAGUUGUCCUUAAAGGGUACUUUUAAAUAUAACACUGAUGCUUCAUCUAAAGAUAACCCUGGACCUAGUUCAAUAGCAUUUUGCAUUAGAGAUUGGAGUGGCGACCUCAAUUAUGCAAGGAUAACAAGAAUAUCCAACACUACUAGCCUCCAAGCAGAAGCUAUGGCUAUUCUAGAUGCUAUUGAGUAUUAUGUGACACACCAUAUGAUGCCUCUGAUUAUUGAAACAGACUCCCUGAUAAUGAAAAAAGUGAUAGAAGGGGAAUGAGGUAGUCCUUGGUCUAUCAGUAUGAUUGCACAAAUAAUUAUGGAGUGGAAGAAAAAGGGCGAAGUGUGUGUCUCACAUGUACUAAGGGAAGGAAAUCAACUAGCCGACUAUUUAACUAACAAGUUUGAUGAUUUUGCAAGUACUAUUCACUUUCAUAAUGAAGAAGAUCUACCAAUAGAAACAAGAAGAAUUAUCCAUGCAGACAAAAUUCAGAUGCCUAAUUUGUGUUUGCAAGAAAGAGAACCAGACUAGACCAUUUCACAAUCAAAGUAAAAAGGCAACAGUAGAGCAAACAACAUACAUCUAGAAAUAAAGUUCACAAUUUCAAUGGUAAAAACAUCAAGCCAAUUGAUACAGUUUACAACGAUUCAAGAUGUCAUAAGUUUAUCGCAAAUUCAACACAUCCAAAAAUAUAAAGGUAUAAUUGAGUAGAUUUUCUAGCGGUGGCAUCAAUCUUCUUGAAGGUUCAACCCACUGAAGGAAAAGUUGAUUUUACCAAAAGAUUUUCUAAUUUGUGUUUCUAUAGUUCUAUUCCUAGAAAAUCUUGAUUACGGAUCUUACCUGAGGGCGUAAUAGCUCAUGCUAUCCUCGAACAAGUUGAAGAAGUCUUCAUUUGGGACAGAUCUCACAGCAUCUGGUGAGAGCAUUGGGGUGUCUUGAGUGGAAUCUACCAAAACUUGUCAACAGUCUAUAACUGAGUUUAGUAGCUCAAAAGAAUCUAAAUGGUCAGAGGUUAAUGUAGAUAGACUCACAUUAGUGCACUUCAUCACCUUUAUUUUGAUGUCUGAUGUCUCAAGUGACAGAUGUUAAUUUCGUUGAUGGUGAAAGAGAGUCUCGGGGUUUUGGACUUAAAAGUUUUAAAAUGGGAGUACUUGAGUGGAG
RNAcentral lists this long non-coding RNA (24105 nucleotides) under Capsicum annuum. RNAcentral describes it as "long non-coding RNA (CANN_LNC006609)". Lineage: Eukaryota; Viridiplantae; Streptophyta; Magnoliopsida; Solanales; Solanaceae. The record is from RNAcentral.